This 32434-nucleotide long non-coding RNA is filed under the name Manihot esculenta (cassava). RNAcentral describes it as "long non-coding RNA (MESC_LNC002500)". The record is from RNAcentral. Lineage: Eukaryota; Viridiplantae; Streptophyta; Magnoliopsida; Malpighiales; Euphorbiaceae.
AAAAAAGGAGGGUAUUUAGGUAUUCCCUGGAAAAGAAGUUUUUUAGAGUAGCAGGGGUGAUGCUAGACUCUAGAUUAAUGACGUCGGGGAGAUUUGGGCUAUCCAUGGAAGAAUGAAGAGCGUACCUUGAAAAUAAUGAAGGCAGGAGAACGGAGCUAGCAAUGCGCACGAAGAACAGAGGAAAGCAAGAGUUUGGAGAAGACUGAGAGAAUUCGAAAUUUGAAACAAUAAUAAGACGAAAAGAUGUUUUGAGGAGAAUUGUCCUUGGGCGGCGCGGUCAUAAUGACUCUCGAUAUUUACCCCCUCAUCAUUCGUGCAAUAACUGAUGAAAAGGUAAAGGGGCAAUUGAUGACCGCUGGAUUUCACCAUCCUGUUACGAGGCUGAGCUCAUAACGACAGUCCCCAUUUUAAGGCCUCUAAGUCUUCUUAAUGGGCCGGCCCAGUCCGUUCGGUCCUAAGAUCAGACCUCCCCUGGGCUUCAGUCUUAAUCUCAUCCUCCAGUCCAGUUCGGAGGAGAAGAAGUAGCCAGCCCAUCCGCCUAGUGGGUCCAUCCGCAUGCGUGCCAGGAGAGAAUUAAAUGGUCGUUACGCAUGAAGCAGAUAUCUGAUAUUCUCUUACGUCCGUAUCCGUAUGGUAGAGAUAGUUGGCCCAAUGGCAGCGAGACCGUUACACGUCACUGACAGAUAAAGGAAAAAAAUAAAAGGGGGGAAACAUUCUCCUCUCGGACCAAGUUCACUCAACCCUUGUAAAAUCUUAUUUUUUGGAUAUCAGAUCAUCAAUUUUUAUUUUAAAAUUUUUUUUAUUAAAAAUAAAAAGUGGGGUCAAGUGACCCCACUCCAGAAGUAGAAACCGGCUAUGGUCAAGAGUCUUGCUCUUCUUCACCUACCGAUGUAAGGAGAAAAAACACAUGCAAUGGUAUAAUAUGGUAAUGAAAAAUGUGAACUGAAUCUUGAAAGAGAAUUUAGAAGAAUUGAAUAACAAGACAGAGCUGUUUGUUCUUUGUACAUGUUCAACUAAUUGAUUUCCCACGUAUUAGUCAAUUAGACUUAAUUUUAUCCCUUUGUCUAACCAACUUGAAACAAUUAUUACAACAUUGGCAACACUUGCAAGAAGACCUCAAAUUUGACACGUUUCUUUUAUUUAUUUAUUGUGUAAAUCUAAUUUUGUAUCUCGAGUCGUCUUCUAGUAGCUAGCUACCUUAUAUUUUUCAAAAAGAAUCUACAAAUAUUCAAUCAUGUGUACAUUGGAUGUGAACCCUUUUAUAAUUCAUUUUCUAUUCAGCUAGAUACUAAGUAAAUAAUAUUAUAAUAAAUAAUUUUAAAAAAAUAAAAUUACUUACUAAAUCCAUAUUAUUACUAGACGUCAUAUUUAUAUAAAAAUUGAAAUUUAAUUAAAAUUUAUUAAAUUAAAAAUUUUUUUAAUUAUUUUUAAUGAUUUAAUGUAUCAGCUCAGAUAACGUGAUACAUCAAAAUAUUUAAUAAAUUACUGUUGAAAAAGGAAAUAGUGACUGAGAAGAGGGGUAAAAAUAAUAAAAAAUAAUUUUUUAAAAUAUUCUAGAAGAGUAUAUCUAGAGUAAAAAAAUAUUUUCUUAAAUAAUAAUUAGAAAGCAUUAAAAUUAAAUUAAUUUUUUUUUAUGAAACAGAGAAAGCAAAUAUAAUUAAUUGGACCCAAGAGAUUGAUAUUUUGGUAAUUAAUUAAGGACAGCAGUAAUUGAGAGAAAAUAAUAUGAAAUUGUAUAUAAUAAUUAAUAAAAUUUAGGGUUUAUUAUCCUUCAAAAUCUGACGAUUUGAAAAAUAAUUUACAACAAUUUUCUUAAUUAAAUUGAAAAUGGAAGUAAAAAAAUUGUCCUUUUCAGAAUUGGUAAUUGUGGUGGAUAAGCUUAGGAGUUAAGAUAAUUCAUGACUCUGUGUGAUAUUGGCAAAAAAUGACCAUCUCAUGAUGCACAUGUAAUUCACCCUUCAUUUCAUAUUUACUCGAUAUGCCAUAGGAAUUAAAUUAUUUAUAAUAUAAAAAUAUACACAUAACUAAUAAUUUAACAUAUUAUAACCAAUUUAAUUCUUGUUUGCAAUAGCAUUGUAUUUGUAUAUUUUUGUAAUUAUAAAUAAAUUAUAUAUAUAUAGUUAAUUUGAAGAUGAAAAUUCUAUAAUUAAUAAAUAUUAAAUAAAAAAUUUAAAUUUUUAUCACUUUUUAUAUUUAUAUUCUAACAUUAAAAUAUUAGAUAAUAAAAUCAAUUUUUCAUAUUUACUUCUAUUUUAGCUAUUUGCCAUUAAUCAAUUUUAGUAAAAAAAUUUUAAUUCACAUGUCAUGACAUUUAUAAUUUUUUUUAAAGACAUAUUGAAUAAAAGAAAUUAAAACUUUUAAGUUAAUUCGUAUUUAUAUCUAAAAUUUUAAAUUUUAAAUAAUAAAACUAAAAUUUUUUUAUUUUAUCUCAAUUAUAAAUAAAAAAAAUAUUUGAAUAUGAAAAUUAUUAAAAAAUUAUAAUAUAGUAUUUAAAAUUUUAUUAGACUAUAAAAUAGUUUUUAAAAUAUAUAUUUUUAUUUCAACAAUAUCUUUUUUUUAUUAAUCUCAUUAUUUAUUUUUCAUUCUCUUUUUUAUAUAUAUUGUAGUUUAAUAAAAAUUUAAAAUAUUUUAUUUUAUUAAAUAUUAUUGAUAUAAAAUAUAAUUUUUUUGUCAAAUUAACUAAUAAUUUAAUAUACAUUACAAAUAUAAUUAUUUUAUAAAUAAAUAAAACAAAAAUAUUAAAUAUCUAAAAUAACCUAUAAAAAAUAUAGUUAAUAUAUCUAAAUUUUUAUAAAAAUUAUAAAAAGAUAACUUCACAUAGUAAAAUAUAUAUAUAUUUAAUAUUAUUAAUGUAAAAUAUAAUUUUUUAUAUACUAAAAAUAUAUAUAUAUAAUUUAUAAUAAUAAAUAUAAAUUUUCAAUGAAAUAUUUUAAUAUAUAAUAUUUAUAUGUGAUAUUUUAAUAUAAAAUUUAAAUUAAUAUAAAAUUUUUGAGAUUAUAUUAUAAUUUAUUAUUAAUUGAAAUAAAUGUAAAGGAAUUAAUUAAAUUAUAUAAAAUUUUUAAAUUGAAAUAUAAUUAUAACAAAUAUUAAACAUUUAAAUUUAUUUUUUCCAAUAAACGAAAAAUGUAAUAUGCUUUGACCACGCUUGUAAACAGGACGCUGAAGUUUAAGAAGCGAAGGUUUGUGGUUGACCCCAAGUUGAGUCCAUGGCCGCCAGUGGAUGAGGAUGAUGCAAUCCAUGAUCUUAUCUCCACCAUCAAACGCUAGUGAUUCAUCAUACACAUGGGCCACCACAUGAUUGUAUCAUCUUAUUACUAUUUAUCAUGUUGAUUUAUCCGCUUGCAUGUCUAAGGAAUUUUUGGUUUUACAAUGCAGCAGCUUAAGCGCAAACCUCAUAUGAUAUGGCCAUUGUAGCCCAUAAAGAUAAUUUAAUAAUAAAAAUAUUUCUUUUAAUAUUUAGCAUUUCAAAUAAAAAUUUAAUGAAUACUUACUUUAUUUUAACUUACAACUUCAUUUAAAAAAAAAAAAAAAAAAAUUCUAAAUCGCUCUUACCAAUACGAUUACAUAGAAGAAACCUUCCUCUUGCGUAAGGGAGUUGAACCCUCUUUAUUCGAUCACUGAUUAAGAGGAAUAUUAUUAAGCUUUUCAACACGUUGAUGCAAAUUUAAAUAAAUUAAAAUUUUAAUAUUUAUAUAAAUUAAAUUAGUCUAUUUGAUUGAUUAAAUUUUUUAGUAAAUUUUUUUAUUUUUUAUAUUUUAUUUUUAAUAUUUUAAGAUUUAAUUAAAAUAUUCUAACUAUAGUCUAAUUCUUUUUAUAUUAUAAAAAAUAAUAUAUUAUUAUCACUUUUUAAUUAGUAAAAUUAAACUGAAUUAAAAUAAUUAAAAAUUUUAAAAUUAAAAUUCAAAUCGAAUUGAAAUAAUAAAAAAUUAAAUUAAAAUUUUAAAAUAAUUCAAUUCAAUCAAACUUUUUAAUUUGAAUUAAAUAUGACUCACCUAAUUUUACGAAAGAAAUAUAAAAUUUUAGUUAAAUAUAAUAAUAGAAAUUCAUCGAGUUUAUUCUUUUAAGUUUCGAGCUUGAAUUUUUAAUUAGAGUUAAUUGUAAAUAAAAAAAUAUUAUUAAAUAAAAAAUAUUUCAGUGAAGUGACAUGAACCAUACAAAAAUCAAGUGAUGGUAUGAUAUAUUGAAUUUUUUUUUUUCUCUUUUAUAUUUGGAAGAAUUGUACUCAUUCUUGGUGAAAGAGAGGAUAUAGCAAGAUAGCUUAGAUAAAAAAAAAAUUUAAAAGUGAAUUUAUAUAUAUCUUUUAUAUUCGUUUUAUAAAUUGCAUAAGCCAAAAUAAUUGAAAUUAUUUGAAAUAAAUGAAUUAAAAUUUUUUUAAAUAAUGCAAUAAAUUUAAAUUUCAAUAGCAUUCUUUAUAUGCUGUUAAUAAUUUUAAAUAUAUAUAUAACUAAUGAAAAUUAUCGUUAAACAUUUCAUGAUGUGUAUAAAUCCUAUAAUUUAAUUAAAUUUUGAUUAAAAAUUUAUUAUAUUUUAUAUAUUUACCAUCAAAGCGUAUUAUAUUUCUUGAUGUUAUUUAUUAUGUAAAUCAUUUAGUUGUGUUUAAUUAUCUACCAUUUAAUUAAUAUGUAUGUAUAAUUUUUUUAUUUACGAUAAUAAAUAUUAUUAAAAAUAUAAAUAAUUUUAUAAUCGAUUUUAAUGGAUUUACAAUAAAUUUAUAAAAUAAUAUUAAUAUUUUUAAUGAAUUUAUGAUUAUUUUUGUUAAAAUGAUCUUUCUAUUUUCAAUAGUAAUUUUUCGUCUUUAAUUAUUUCUGACAGAUUAGCGAUAGAUUGAUUAUCGGAUGAAUUUAGAUUUUUUGAUGAAUUUAAUGAUGAAUAAAAUUUAUCACUAAUAUUUUUUGAUGGAAUAAUCAGUCAAAAUUCUGUUGCAAAUAUUUUUGAUAUAUUUUAAAUUGUUAAAAAUCUGUUACAUAUUAGCGAUAAAAUUUUAAGUGACGAAUUUUAAUUUAUAGAAAAUCAUCGCCGAAAGUGUUAGGUGCGGAUUUUAGACUAUCAGCGAUCAAAUUUUCCGUCUAACGGAUAGUCCGUUUUUUAUAAUGAUACAUAUUUAAAAGUUUUAGUUAAAUUAAUUUUAAAUAAUUUUUUUUUUCUUUAUGUAUUUUUCAAAUUCAAUAUAAAUAACUUAUUCUGCACAAUCUCGGACACACAUAUACAAUCAGAACUAUUCUUUUUUUUUUUUUUUUUUGUGGGAGCUUUAAUUUAUUCUCAUCUUAAAAACAGACCAAAAGAAUAUGGAAUUUUAGUUAAAUAUAAUAACGGAAAUUAGAUAAAAUCAUGACUAAAAAUUAUCAGCAUAUAUUUAUUGUCUAUAAAAUUUAUAAUUUAUAACUUUUAAUAAAAAAUUUAUAUUAAUUUAUAACCACUAUAUAUUAUUUAUUAAUUUAUAAAUUAUUUUAAUAUUAAAAUGUAUUAUAUUUCUUGAUCUUAUUUAUUGUGCAACUAUUUUAUAUAAAAUAAUGUUAAAAAAUAUUCAUUGGAGCCUUCUAAUUGGAGGCAUAAUAUAAUAUUCAUUAUAUUUAUCAUUAAAACUAAUAUUAAGUUUGUUUCAAUUUUAAUUCUUAAAAUUUUGUAAAAUUUAAUUAAAUUUUAUAUUUUAUGUUUCUAGUUUGAAGAGAUAUUAAAAUUAGUAUUAAGAAUUCAAUUUUAUGGAAUUGGUUAUAAUUAAAAAAUUAAUUCUUUCAAAUUUUGAUAAAAUUUGAAAUAUUAUAUAAUAAUAUUUUAUAAACUAACAUGUUCAUAAUAAAAAUUUUUCUUUCUAUUAUCAUUUAUUUUAUUAGUUGAUUAAAUAAAUAGUUAAAAAUUAAUAAAUAAUUAAAAAAUAUUGAUGAUUACAAUAAAUGAUUAAAAUUUAUUUUAAUAAAUAAUUAUAUUUUUAAUUUUACUAUUAUUUUAUAAACAUUAAAUAAAAAUAAUAGUAUUACAUAAUCAGUCGUCUACCUUGAACCUUCAAAUUCUCUGAAUAUAUUUUGAUAUCAACUCUCAUAUUAAUUUAUUUUUAUUUUAUCAAUAUAUUAUUAAUAAAUUUAUAUUUUUAUUUAUUAUUACUAUUAUAAUAAAUUUAUUAUGAAUAAUUUUUUUUAUAAUAAAAAAUUAUAUAUAUAUACACUUUAUUCUUAGGGUAAUUUAGAGAGUAAAUAAAUUUCAAUUCUAAAAUUAAAUCAAACAAAAAUUAUGUAAAAUUAAAUUGAAUUCUACAUUUUUAAGUUAUAUUAAAUUAAAUAAUGAAAUUUAUUUCAAAUAAAUUUUAUUCAUAAUUUAAUUGAAUUAUAUAUAAUUUUAGUCAUAAAAUUAAACAGGAGAAUAUAUAUCAAUUACUUGUAUAAGGCACACAUUAGGUUCAUAUAAUAAGGGGAAAUCACAGCAGGAAGAUUAUAAUCCUCCCAUGGUUUUACACACACAGAAACCAAAAAAACCCAAAAGAAAAAAAAAAAAAAAAGGUGGAAAUUACAUUACAUGUUAAUUAUUGAGGAUGGCAAGAACACCAUUUAUUUAUUCCUCCCAUUUCCAGUGAUUAGAAACUUCAAACUUUUUCUUUUUGACAAAGAAAAAAUUUACCUAACAUUAAACCCAAGGUUGUAAGCAUAUUUGACGAGAUCAUCAAUCUCUGACAUGUCGAUAACUCCAUCUCCAUUAGCAUCAGAAAAUUUGAUCCCUUGACGGGCCCUAUAAGCAGGGAACAUAGCUCCAAGAUAAUUGAAAGCUUGUCUGAUCUCUUCUCUGCUAAGAACAUUGUCUCCAUUUAAAUCGAACUUCAUGAAAACUUGCCUCACUUGUUCUUCAGUGAAGGGAACAGGAGCAUCUUUGUAUUUGUUCACACGGAAGGGAUUCACCGCCAUAUGAUAUUGACGUGGUGCCGGUGGCGGUGGUGGUGGUGGAUUGUUUGCAAACCAAACACCUUGUGGAGGAGGAGGAGGAGGUGGAGGUGGUCCCCAGAAAGACUGAGACCUGUCAUAAUAGAUUGGCGGCUUUUCUUCAUACAUUGGCUGAUUGUAUGGAGAAGGAUAAGGAACAACGUUAUAGUCUUGGGUAUAGCAGCGAUCGUAGUACAUGAUUUUCAAGUGGCGAGGAUAAUAACUGGAGCAGGUUUUGAGUUUGAAGUUUUGUUUGAACUUGGGAUGGAUUUGAAUCCAUGAAAGCAAUCUUAUUUAUAAGCUGCUUCAGGGUGUUUUUUUUUUUUUUUUUUUCCACUUGAAUGAAUAAUGUUCUAACUUAUCUUACCAGGAAUAAUUAAAUCUUUCCUUCAAGUGGGAAUCUCUUUUUUAUGUUAUUAAAUAUGCUGCGGUUAAAUUUAAAUUAGAUUUCAUAUCAGUAUGAAUAUAAAAAUUGUACACAAUGUUAUAAAAUACUAUUUAAAUAUAAAAUUGAAUCAUAGACUCUAAAAUGAAAAUUCUUAUAAAAUUAUAAGAUAUUUUUUAUUUUUUUUUUAAUUAUAAAACUUAAGAUAAAUAAAUAAUGAACUGAUAUGCAAAGGACAGUUUAACAUGACAAUACGAAGUGGAGAAUAUGUUACAGGACUCACAUGAUAGAUAUCAUUAUCAAAUUGAUAAUGAAGAAUAAAGAUUUAUGCCUUCAAAUUCAUUCCAUCUUGGACCUCCUUAUUUAAUCAUUUUUAUGCUAUAAAUUAUUACAAUUCAUUUUAGUUAGCUGAGUAAUUAUGUUGCAAUUAACACUUAUAUAUAUUUCAAUUUUUUAAAAAUAAAUAAUUUAUUUUUUAUAUUUUAAUUUUAUUAAAUUAAUAAAAAAUUAUUUUAACAAAAGUACUUUCAGUUUAACAGAAUCAAAAUAUAUGAAUUAAUAUGUUGAAUUUUAAAAGUAAAAUGAUAUGUAUAUUAACAUCAGAGAUAUGUAAAAGUGAUUUUUUUUUUAUUUAUAAGUAUAAAUUAUAAGAUUUAAGUAUGAUAUUAAAUUUGAAUUAUAGCAUUAUUGAAAAGUAAUGAAUAUAGAUUUGCUCAUCUUUCUUAAUCACAUGAAAUGAGAGUUUGGCAUAUAAUAAAAUAAAGUAGCAAAAUAUUCUUAGGUCAGUUGGCCAACAUCAUCUUCAAAGCAUUUUUGACGUCACAGAUGUGCCCACGCCUUUGACUAGUCGGUUUUACAUAUUAUUCUGAAAACUAUAUUUACCUUUGUUUUUUUAAGCAAAGCAAAAUCUUACCAUCAUUCAUCCUUUAAAACCAAGUGAUCCGAUUAGAAGGUAGCAUUUAAUCGGUUCAAUUUAAAAUCAAACUGAAUUAAAUAUAUUAAAAAUUAAAAUUUUAAUAUUUAUAUAAAUUAAAUCGAAUCGAAUUGAUUUUAAUUAGAAAUUAAAUUGGACUGAAUCACUUUGAUUCAGCUCAAUUCAAUUUAAUUUGAUCAGUAUGAAUUUUUAAUAUAUUUUUUUAAUUUUUAUACUUUAUUUUUAAUAAUUAAAAUUUUAAUUAAAAUAUUUUAACUUUAAUAUAAUUUGAUCUUUUUCAAUAAUAUACUAUUAAUAUUAAUUCGUUCGGUUCGAUUUUUUAAAUUCUUUUCUGAUUAAAAUUAAAUCGAAUAAAAAUAAUUGAAAAUUUUAAAAUUAAAAGCUAAAUUAAACUAAAAUAAAUAAAAAAAAUUAAAUCGAAUUUUCAAAUUAAUUUAAUUCGAUUAAUUUUUUUAAUUUAAAUCGAAUACUACUCCCACCAAUUGUAGAACUGAUUAGACUAAUAAUUGGAACAGUGAAUCAGUAAAAGAAAAAAUAAGAAGAAGAAUACUAUAAAUUUAUUUUAAAAUUAUAUAACCAAGGUUAAAUUGUCUAGUUUAAUUGGCUAAAAAAUAGAUGACUUGAUUUCAAAAUUUUAGAUUUCGAGUCUUAUUCCUUUUCGUAGUGUAUUUAAAUAUUAAAAAAAACAUACAUAAUAUUAUUUAAUUUCAUUAAGUUUUCUUUUUUUUUUUAUUAAAUGGUUAUUUAAUUAGUUUAUAUUUUGAUUUUAUUAGUUACCUAAUUAUAUAUAUAUAUGUCAGUUAUGCUAUAAUAAAUAGUAAUUAUUAUUAGGCAAAUUACAAUAUUUGAAAAUCUAUUUAUUAUACAUGCCUAUACUUUUAUAUGUUAUAUACAUAUAAUUUUUGUUUUUAUUUUUUUAUAGAAUAAUUGUGAUUCUCAAAUUAUUAAUAUUAUUUAAAAAUGAUAUUUUUAUAUAUUAUAAAUCUUUAAUAUAUCAAGAGCAUUUUUUUUAUAUAUAUUUGAAAAUAUGAAGAUAUCACAUAAUUUAAUCAAACUUUAAAAUUUUAUAUCUUUAAUCAAUAAAAUUGUGUAAAAUAUAAUUAGUGAUCAUAUUGUCCGCUUGAUAGGUUGGUAUCUUAUUCUUUGCAGCAAUUUGGGCCGUUGAUAUUGAGAUUGUGGUGAAUCCAUUCCUAAAUACAUAAAUUGAUAUUUGAUAGGCAACUGAUUACAAUUCAAAUCAAAGUUUAAAAUUAGAGCUGGUAUAGCCGAUGGAAAUUAUUCUGAUAGGAAGAUUUUUAAUCAAUUAUUCUGGUAGGAAAAAUUAAAAUAAUAAAAUAAAUUUGAUUUGCAAUUAUUCUGAUCAAAUCCAUAAAAAAAAAAAAAAAUUCUUAUACGGAUCAAGAGAAGUGAAUUCAUAUAUUAUUGGUUUUGUCAAAUAUAAAAAUUUAAAAUAAAAUUUAUUUAUUUUUUUAAUUUUUUGAAAAUUUAACCUUCAAGCAAUUUCCAAUUAUUUAUAUGAUUUGUGAUGUAAGAAUGGCACACACCAUUAAUACUUAAAACAUAAAAUAUAUAAUUUUAUGUAUCCAUGAGGGAAAACGUAGCAGGAAGAUUAUAAUCCUCCUAUGGUGUUACAACACAAACAGAAAAAAAAAAAAAAAAAAGGUUAAUUAUUUAGAUCGCAAUUAAGAGCACCAUUUAUUUAGUUGGAUUCCCCUCAUUAGAAUCAUCGAACUCUUUACCUAACAACAUAUCCAAGGUUGUAAGCAUAUUUGACGAGAUCUUCCAUCUCUGACAUGUCCACAACUCCAUCUCCAUUAGCAUCAGCAAGUUUGAUCCCUUGACGGGCCUUUUGAGCAGGGAACAUGGCACCGAGAUAAUUGAAAGCUUGUCUAAUCUCUUCCCUGCUAAGAACAUUGUCUCCGUUCAGGUCGAACUUCAUGAAAAUUUGCCUCACUUGGUCUUCAGUCAGGGGAACAGGAGCACUUUUGUAGUUGUUGGUACGGAAGGGAUUGGAGGGAACAUAAUAUGAACGUGGUGGUGGAGGAGUUGGAUUGCUUGGAAACCAAACAUCUUGGGGAACAGCAGGAGAUGAUCCCCAGAAACCAACAGCUGCAGGCUUGUCAUCACACAUUGAGGGCUUCUCCUCAUUCGUUGGCUGAUGGUUUGGGUAAUGAUAAGGAGUGAUGUUGUAUUCUCGGGAGUAUUGCAUAGAGUAAGCCAUGAUUUUCAAGUGGUUGAGUUCGUAGUUUUAUUUAACUUGCGAUGGAUUUGAACCCAUGGAAGCAACGCUUAUUUAUAAGGAGUUCGUAGUUUUGUUUUUUUUUCCCCACUUGCAUGAAUAAUAUUCUAAGUUAUCUUUGCGAAAAGUGGAACUACUUUUUGGCAAAUUCUAUAUGCCUUUUCUUUUUUUUUUUUUUUUUUAUUAAAGCAAACUCACAUAGUAUAGAUUCUCCACGUGUCCUACAACAUAAAAAUUCUCCACCACCAAAAUGAAAAUGCAAAUAUUCCUAAAUUUAGGAGACAAUUUAUCUCUCAAUACAAAGUAAGCUAUAUAUUUUUCUUAAACGAGUGAUAUGUGAUAUUUUUUAAUAAGAGUAUUAUUUAUUAUUUUUAUUGAGAAUUAAUAAAAAAUUUUCACUUAAAUUUAAAAAAAUUUACUAUAUAUUUUUUGUGACAUUAAAAAAACUCAUUAACUUAUUAUAUUGAUUCUGAAUAAUAUAUUAUGAUUUUUUAGAGUUUAAAAAAUUUAUUAAUUAAUUAUUUUAUUAGUUUUAAUUAUUUAAAAAAAAUAUGAUCCGUAGGUCUCAUUUUUAUAAAAAUAUUUAUUAACUAUUUAAUAUUAAAAAUAUUUAAAUUUUUUUAUAAUAUAAAUUAAUUAAUAAAAUUUUUAAAAUUUUAUAGAUAUUUUAAUUAAUUUUUAAAAAUUAUUAAUAAAUUGAAAUUACAAAUAUAAAUUUAGCAUAUUUAUAUUUCAAAGUAUUAUUUUAUAAAUUUGGUUAUAAUCGAUAUUUAAAAAAUUCCAAUACAUAGAAUUAGAAAUUUUUAAGUUUUUAUAAUAAUAACCAAUGAAAAUAUAUACACUUAUAAAUUAAAAAAAAAAACAAUUUCUAAACAAUCUCAUGAAAAAAAUUCAAUAAUUUAAGAAAUAAAUUUUUUAAAUGAGAAAAAUAUUUAAAUAAUGAUUACAAAAAUCAUUAUUAAUUAAUUCUAAAAUUAUUUAUUAAAUUAGUAAAUUAAAUAUUAAAACGAUUCAACUUUCUAAUUUUACUAGACUAGAAAGUAUUAUCAUCUGAUCAAAUUAAUUUUUUUUAAAAAAAUUUUAAUAAAUAUUAAUUUAAUUUAUAAAUUUUUUUAAUUUUUUUUUUUAAAAUUUGAAUCCGAUCUAACUUAUCUAAAAAUUAGCUUAAAAUAAAAGUGUCUAAAACACUUCUAAAAGACACAUCACCUAUAUUCUAAAUCGAUGUGGAAUCCCCUCACGUCCAAAACUACACUGAAACAUGACAUAUUUAUGAGAGAUUUAAUUUCGGUGGAAAACUCUAAUACCAUGUUCAAUUUGGGUCAAACCUAAUUUAUCCCAAAAAUUAGUUUAAGGAGGGAGAAGUGUUUAAAACUCUUAUAAAGGCUAUAUUGAUUUUAUUCUAAAUUGAUAUGAAAUUUAAAAUUUUUUAUUAGCUAAAAAACUUAUAAAUUUUAUUAACAUGAAAAGAACCAUCAAAAGAGGCUCUCAGAAUCAGCAAGUGAACUCCAUACAUCCAUCUUAAACAAACUAGCAACGUCUAAUGAUGAAAAAUACCUUAAAAGAAACACAAAAGGAAACAAAAACAAAAGCAAGGCAACAAAGUCGUACAAUCUAAGACUUCCAGAUUUAGCAGGAUUAUCAGUAAAGCAAUUUGUUUCCCCUUUUGAGGAUGGAUGAAAGUCACCGUUGCAACAGAAUGGUCCAAGAAAUUGAGCUUAAUUUCAGAGAGGAAAAUAAGACAACCAUCUGAUUUGGAGAAACUUUGUUGAAAAGUUUUAAUUAAUUUUAUUUAAAAGAAUUACCAUCAGUUAACUAGAUUUUAUUAAAAUUUACUAGUUUUUCCUUUUUUUUUUUUUAAUUAAUCAAUUAAAAUAUUUCACAUUUUAUAAACUCAAAUAAUUUAAUCAUUCUGCCUAAAGAAUUGCUAAUCAAUUUAUUUUAAUAUUAAUUAAAUGGACUAAAUUGUAUAAAUAUUUAUCAAUUAUGGUGACUAAAUAACAUAGAACUGAACAAUAUAAAUAUUUGAUAACUCAAAGAUCCACGAGAAACUAAAUUAAGGAAAGUAAAUAUUAUAGAUGAAUUUAGUAAAUGAGGGUAAUAAUAAUUUUGAGUUGAAAAUAUUUCGAAAGUUUGCAGAAAAUCUAUGAACACUCCUAAUAAAAUUUAUUUGGUCGUAAUUUAGUAAAAGUACUAUGAGAACAUACACGUGUUUUAAUCUUAGGUGUUUUAUAUAUUAUUAAUAUCCAAGACAGCCGGUAAUUCUUUUUAAUAAAAAAAUUAAAAAAAUAAAUUUUACAAAUAUAAAAUAUUUUAAUAAAUAAUUUUUAAAUAUAAAUAAAUUAAUAAAUUUCUAAAAAUUUAAAAAUUUAUAAUAAUUUUUCAUUUUAUUUCAUUCAAUUUUGGAAUCUAACUUACCUACAUUACUGCACUAAUUAAAUUACUUUUUUUUUUUUUUGAAAUGGGGAUGGGGAUUCGAACAUGAGAUUUAUCAGGUUUAACCGAAUGCACUUAACAUCAGAUUAAGUCUGGGAGUGCACUAAUUAAAUUACUUCUAAAUAAAUAUUUUUCCUUUUAUAUAUUUUCAAUUUUCAAUAUAUAACUCACUACAGGCAUCUAUGAGCCUUUUUUUCCUGUUUCAUGGAGGGAGCUUUUAUUCUCAUCUUAAAUAUGGAUUUUUUUUUUUUGAAAAGUUAAAUAUAAUAAUGAAAAUUAGAUAAAAUCAUGGCAAUAUUCAUGUAUGAAGUUGCAUACGAAAAUCAAAUACGUAUAUGAGUAUUCUUCUGACCACUUAGAAAAUUUGAGUUUAAAUUCCUCAUCAUAGUUAAUUAUAAAAAAUUUGGAAGUUCAUUUCAUUCUUUUGUUCGUUUUGAGAAUUUCAUAAACCAAAAAAUUGAAAUUAUUUUAAUUAAAUUAAUAAAAAAUAAUUUACAAACAAUCCAAUAAAUUUAGGAUUUUUAACAGCAUACCUCAUAUUAGGUUUAAAAUGCUUAAUCAUGAUAAAUAAAUUCCUUAUAAAAUACUAACGAGUAUUUUAUAAGGAAUCUGUAAAUGCUUAUGAGAUGGAAUCUGUAAAUCCUUGAGUUUUACUAGCUCGGAGGCUCUUUUAUUUCUGAGUAUUUUCAACCAAAUCUUGUCUGUAUAAGAUUGAAGAAGCGGCAAAUCUUCAACAUCUGCUAAACAGAUUCCUGAUACUGAAGCUCAAGUCCUGGAAUGCUAAUGUCUUUGGUUUGGCUAGCCCAAAACUCUUUGAGAUUAAUUUUCUGUAGAUCUAUUCGAAAGUUUUACGAAAGUUCGUGAUCUUACAACCUCUAAACAAGCUAUUUUACAACGUUGUAAAGCUGAUAAAGAAAUAUGGCAAAUGAUAAUGUGUGUCCUUGGAGGCAUCCUAAGAGAUCAUUUGGAACAUUUUCUCUGCAUUUUCUCUUGCCCAAUAGGUAUUGAUGCCUAUAAUGCUACAGAAUUCAAAGAAAUAGCAAAGGCCUUGGAACUGCUAUGCUCAACCUCUUUUCACCCCCAUAUCGGUUCUCAUUUCUUAGUAGAAUCCUAUUCUAUAGCUGCAAUUUCUUUGGCACAAAAUCUAGAUAGCUCACCAUGGCAUCUUUCUGGCAAACUCCAAUGCUUCUUCAUUAUCUUUGUUGCCUAAGGUUAAGUUUUGUCAUACUUUGCGGAAUGGAAAAUCCAUAGCUGGCUCUCUUGAUAAGCAAGGUGUAAAUAGAUAUGAAGACUUCGUGGCUUUCCACUAGUUCUUGGUAACUUAUCGCUACUGUAUUCUAUGCCUUAUAGUUGCCUUUUUAAUGGGUUGGUGCUGGCUAUAGCUUCUUUUUUUUUUGGGUUUGGAUUUGUUUGUUUUUCUUUUGCUCCUGUUGUCAUGAUACACAUACACCAAAUGCAAAAAAAUUUGAGUUAUUGAUAUGGUUUAGGAUAUUGUAAGAAUCACAGACAGAGUUAAAACUUAAAAUACCACAAACAUUGUAUAGGUAUAUAAACCCAUGAGGGGAAAACAUAGCAGGAAGCUUAUAAGCAUACAUGUUAAUUAUUGAGGUGGCAAGAGCACCAUUUAUUUAGUUGGAUUCCCCUCAUUAGAAACAUCCAACUCUUUACCUAACAACAUACCCAAGAUUAUAAGCAUACUUGACGAGAUCUUCCAUCUCGGACAUGUCCACAACACCAUCUCCAUUAGCAUCAGCAAAUUUGAUCCCUUGACGGGCCUUUUGAGCAGGGAACAUAGCACCAAGAUAAUUGAAAGCUUGUCUGAUCUCUUCCCUGCUAAGAACAUUGUCUCCAUUCAGGUCGAACUUCAUGAAAAUUUGCCUCACUUGGUCUUCAGUCAGGGGAACAGGAGCACUUUUGUAAUUGUUGGUACGGAGGGGAUUGGAGGGAAUAUGAUAUGAACGUGGUGGUGGAGGAGUUGGAUUGCUUGGAAACCAAACAUCUUGGGGAACAGCAGGAGAUGAUCCAAAGAAACCACCAGCUGCAGGCUUGUCAUUACACAUUGAGGGCUUCUCCUCAUUCGUUGGCUGAUGGUUUGGGUAAUGAAAAGGAGUGAUGUUGUAUUCUUGGGAGUAUUGGAUAGAGUAAGACAUGAUUUUCAAGUAGUGAGGGGAUUAAAGCAGGUAUUGAGUUUGUAGUUCUAUUGAACUUGCUAUUGAUUUGAAUCCAUGGAAGCAAGCUUAUUUAUAAGCUACUCCAGGUUUUUUUUUUCUUUUUUUUUUUUUUUCUUUUUUCCCACUUGCAUGAAUCAUAUUCUAAGUUAUCUUUCUGAAAAGUGGAUUCUAUAUAUCACAGAUAAGGAACUACUUUAUCUGACAAAUUCUAUAUGCCUUUUUCUUCUCCAUAAAGUAUUUUGAAAUGCAUGCAUGCCGUUUCUUUUUUUUUUUUUUUUCUUUUCCUGAUUAGAUUAUGGCAUUAAAUUGAUAAUCGCGGUGAUGAUUUAAUGUUAUUUUGUAAUUUAAAGAUUCAUAUGUAAAAUAAUUUAUCUUAUUCUUUGCAGCAAUUUGGGCAGUUUAUAUUGAGAUUGUGGCGAAUCCAUCCCUUUCAUGUACAAGAGGGUUCAAAGCUGUGAGUUUAUGUAGUUCUCAAUAUUCUUUUCCUGCUUACAAAUAAAAAUAAAAAUUAUUAUCUAAUCUGUAUGAUAUUGAAAAAAUAAUUUAUAAGCCUCUUAACUUUUAAAAAUAUAUUAAAAUUUUUAUAUAAUUUUUAAAAUAUCUAUUGAAUUUUUUUAGAAAGGCGUAAAAUUAAUAUGUAAAGUACCUAAACCUUUUUAUGUUAAAAAGUAAUUUUAGAAGAGUAAUUUAAAAAAAAAAAUUGUUCUCUAAUCUUUUGUGCUAAAAGUAAUCAUUUUCAAGUUAGCAGCAUGAGCCUUUUAAUAGAUUAUCAAAAUUAUUGGAAGGUUUUAAUUUACUUUUAAAAAUUAAUAGCUCAAUUAGUUAAUUUUUUUUAUAUUUAAAAAUUAAAUAAUAAUUUUAUAAUAGAAAUUUAAUAUUAUUUUCUGAAUAUAUUUUAUUAAGCAAGCAAGAAAUCUGAAGAGAAAAAAAUAAGAAACAAGAUAAUUAGAAAAUAAAAUCCUCUAAGACUUGAUACAUAUUGGGGCCUACAAUGUAGGAAUUUUUUUUUCUAAUUAAAGCAAACUUACAUAUUUAUAUUCUCCAUGUGUCCUAGAACGAAAAAAAUUCUCCACUCACACACCACCAAAAUGAAAACGCAAAUUCCUUAAAUUAAUCUGUUUUUUAAAUUUUUGUUAAGGUCCAAAAGACUGAAGAGGUAUAUGAUGCAAAGUCAAAAGACUAAGAGAAAUACAAAUGAAAACACUCGAUAAAGCUCGAUUAAAACAACUCAAAAAAAUAAAAUCAAACAAACAAACCAAAUUAAAAAAAAAAAAACAAUUAAAUACAGAACCAAAUAAUCAGCCACUGAUCCACCGCACAGCCUACUCGGCUUGGAAUUCAGCAAUAAGAGACAUCAUCGGCCAUAUUAGCGGCAAUACAAACAACCUGAAAAAACUAAAAAGACUCAACACACCAACAAAAAAGCAACAUGCAAACAAUAUCAAGACAGAAAAAGUCCAUGACAAAGUAUUUUUAAAACUUCUUUAAGAUAGAAAACACUAGCAUAUCCGAGGAGGAGAUGACGAUAGAGUUGACGAUUCUAUCUUCACCGGCGAGCGUGGUGGUCACCGGACGUAACUAUACAGUCUCAACAUACCGAAGUCACAUCGGUAAGAAGUCUCUUGAGAAAAGAGAAAUAAACCAAUUAAAAGUAGGUCUAAAGAAGCCUUUACAUGGAUACCACGAGACUUGUAAAUGAGAAAGCAAAAAACUAAAUAAAAAUCGCCAAUGUGUUCGACGAAAAUGAGGUCGUCAAACAGAAGCCAAAACUGAUGGUUUUUCUGCCUCGAAGAGUAAAGAAACCACAAUCAAAGCUACCAACAACGACCCAAUUUUAGAAACAGACAAUACCUUAUAACUAAAAGGAAGAACACUAUUGUGCACACCAAUCGAUUUCUGUCCCCCAUAUUUUUGCCCUUUUCUUCUUUUCUCAAUCUUCUCGUCUUAUUAGAGUGCACAUUUCAGUCGGUUCGGUUUAAAAUUGAAACUAAAAAUUGAAAUUUUAGUUUUUAUAAAAAUCAAAUCGAAUCGAUUUUGAUAAAAAAUUGAAUCAAAUUAAAUUGGUCUAAUUCAAUUUGAUUCGAUUCCGUUUGAUCGGUUUCAAUUUUUAAUAAUUUUUUUUUUAUUUUUUACCAUUUAUUUUUAUUAUUUUAAAAUUUAUUUAAAAUAUUUUAAUUUUAAUAAUUUUAAUAUGAUCUAAUCUCUCCAUAUUAUUGAAAAUAAUAUAUUAUUAUCACUAAUCGGUUCAGUUUGAUUUUUUUAAUUUUUUUCUGAUCAAAAUCCAACCGAACCGAAAUAAUCAAAAUUAAUAAAAAAUCAAACUGAAUUUUCAAAUUAAUUUAAUUCGAUUGAUUUUUUUAAUUUAAAUAGAAUACUCAUCACCCUUAACUCUUCAUCUAUUUAUGUAAUAGUAGAAAUACAGUUGGUUACUAUAUAUUUCAUCAAGUCUCCCUCAACCUUUUGGGAUAUAUCUCCUUAAAUUUAAGAUAUAUAUAUAUAUAUAUAUAAGCAAAUUAUUUUUCUUAAACGGUUAAAAUAAUAUCAUCUUCUAAUGCAAGUAUAAUUUGCCACUUUUAUUGAAAAUUAACAUGUAUAUUUUUUUAAUUAAAUUUUAAAAAAUUUAAUAUUUAGCCUAUAUAAUAUGCAAACUCAUUAGUAAGUCUUAAUUUUAAAAAAUACAUUAAAAUAUUUCUAAACUUUUAAAAUAUUUAUUAAUUUUUUAUUACUUUUAACCAUUAACUAUUUUAUUUUAUUUAAUUCUUAUAAUAUAAAAAAAAUUUAUUAAUUGAUAUUUUAGUUUUAUAAAGAUAUUUACUAAUUAACUUCUCUGGAUUAUUUUCACAAUAUUUAACAUUUAAAAUUAAUAAAAAAAUUAAUUGGUAAAUUUUUUAAAUGUUUAUAAAUAUUUUAUUUUUAAAAAUUAAAAAACUGACUAAUAAUUUUUCUUAUAUUAUAUAUAUGAACCAAAUAGUAUAUUUUAAAAAAAUUAAUUUUAAUUAUUAUUAUUAUUAUAACUAACUUUGUUAGCUUUAGUUAUUUAUGGUUAUUUUUAUUUAAUCAAUAUAAAUCAAAUUAAUUAUUAAUAUUAAUGAUUUUACAUAAAAAUUUUCUAAGUAAGUCCUCAACUAUCACCGUAAAAUAGGGCCAUGCAGCAAGGGUUGAGAAACUGAUAAGCAGUUUCACUCAUAGAAAGAAAGACUUGAACGACCAGCUCGAGCAACCAUCAUGCUCAGAAUUAAAAGAAAAGACCCGGCCUUAGGACAAGUCGGCUUCAGGUCAGAUAGACCCGUCCUCUUAAGCGAUAAGACGAGUCUCCGUAAGAAAGUUACUAUCUACUAGCUACAAUCUUGCAAAUCUCCUGCGAUCACGAGAUUUCCAACUAAUUAGCCAAUAAAAAUACCAUAUUUUCUUGAGAUUAUAGGAAGAAAACUGUUUUUAUUUUCUUACCUCUUGUGUAGUAAGUUACAGUGUUUAUAUAGUACGUAAUAUGAACAAUUAGACCUUUGAUUGUGCUCUCAAUUAUGUCCUAGAAUCAUGCUAUGCUAAACAUGGUAAGAUUUGAUCACUGAUUGAUUUACAAUCAUGACAGAGGAUUCUUUCCAACACUCCCCCUCAAGUUGGUUCAUGUGGAUCUAGCAUACCCAACUUGCCCAAAACCUCAUGGAAUAUUCGUCCAGCUACUGCUUUGGUUAGGAUGUCCGCCCAUUGAUCCUCUGAUUGAACAAACGGUAAAGAUAUUAGACCACUGUCCAACUUUUCUUUGAUGAAAUGUCGGUCUAUUUCAACAUGUUUUGUUCGAUCAUGAUGAACUGGAUUUUCAGAAAUGCUUAUUGUUGCCUUGUUGUCACAACGGAGUUCAGCUGCAUCCUUUGAUCCAAGCUCAAACAUCAACUUUCUAAUCCAUAGGAGUUAUGCCAGUCCUUUUGCUAUUCCCCUGAAUUCUGCAUCAGCACUUGACAGUGCCACCACCUUUUGUUUCUUACUUUUCCACGUUACCAAAUUUCCUCCUACAAAGGUGAAGUAUCCUAAAGUAGAUCGUCUGUCGGAGAGAUCUCCUGCCCAACUUGCGUCCGUAUAUCCACUGAUACUGAAAUGACCAUUCUUUUUGAACAACAUGUCCAUCCCAGCUGUUCCUUUCAGAUAUCGAACGAUUCUCAAUGUUGCCUCCAUAUGGUCUUGUUUUGGAUUAUGCAUGAACUGACUUACCAAACUCACAGCAUAUGCCACGUCUGGUCUGGUGUGUGAUAAAUAAAUCAGUUUUCCUACCAGUCUCUGGUACCUCCCCCUGUCUGUGGGUCCUUCUUUUGAGUCCUUGCUCAACUCGUGAUUGACCAUUACUGGAGUAUCGACUGGUUUGCAAUCUAUCAUUCAUGUUUUAGUUAACAGAUCAAGAAUGUACUUUCUCUGUGAUAUCAAAAUUCCCUGGUCUGACCUGAGAACUUCGAUUCCAAGAAAAUAUUUUAACAUCCCUAGGUCUUUCAUCUCAAAUUCUUGGAAUAAGUUGUCCCUCAGUUGUUUGAUUUCAUCCACAUCGUCUCCAGUUAUAAUCAUGUCAUCCACGUAUAUAAUCAAACACGUGAUCUUCCUUCCUUGCCUCUUCAAGAAUAGAGUGUGAUCGGAGUUACUCUGUCGAUAUCCAUUGUAACACCCCGGAAACCGGUACCUCUCUGUAUCGGCCUAAAGUGCUCGGCACUAGGAUCCAGAUCGGCUUAAGGCUGCCUAGACCCGUAAUAAGCCUGCUAUGAACUCUGUGUACCUGGUAAAAUCCCAUACAUGAUCCAACUCGACUACUAAGUUUUACUUUCUUUCUCUGUAAAAACUACCAGACUUAACCUUUAAAACAUCAGACAUCUCAAUCUGAAAUAGCCCUCAGGGCUAAACCAGUGAUACUCUACCAAGUAACCUCCAUGCACUAUGCUCUGAAACAUAGAACCCACUCUGUAGGGUCAGCAUAUCAUAAGUUAACCUUGGCUACCAUAGAGUCACAGGAUUCAAACCUGGUCUUCUCUAAUGGCCUCUCUAUGGGUCACAGGAAUCAAACCUGAUCUUCCCUCUGCACUGGUCUUGGGUCAAGGGAAUUAAACCCUGUCUUCCCUCACAGUUAUAAUUCACUGGGUUUUCGAAACACAACAUCUAUUAAGUCUGGUUUGACUCAUUUCUCAUCAAGAAACAUAAAACAGGAUACAUGCAUACACUAGGGAUCAACAUACUAUAAAGAUCAACAUACACUAAAAGCAAAGCACAUUCUAACUUAUACAUACACGAUCUUACUAACUAUUACAUGCCUUUACAUCUAUCUCUUUAAUUUACAUCAUGUCCACUACUCUAUUACACAUGCAAUACUGGAGCCAACACUCUGAUGCUUCUGACUCCCCAGCUAACUCUGUACCUGCAAAACUGGGAUUAAGGGAAAGGGAUGAGCUAUAAAGCCCAGUGAGUAGAAACACUGAAAACAGUUCAUUCAUACACACUUUAUAUGAAAUGUGUCACAACUCAAACAUUCCACAUCUUGGAUUAGACAUGACCUCAAAACUCCCUCUGUCGGCACCCGAUUCCCGUAGGAACUCACACAGGAUUUUCACUGCCAUGACAGAUCGUGGGCUAUUGAUGUCGCCUUGGUCCAAUCCCCACUAUCAAUCAAUAAUGCAAUGCACCAUAUUCGUGAUUCUCAUGCAAUCACCCUAAUACAUAACAUGGUAUCCAUGAUGCAUGAACUAUGCUAACGCAUUCCAUUUUCUCAGUAUAAAAGAUUAAGUUUAGUUCUACUCACCUCUGCUCCUCUAGCAGCUACUGUACUGACUCUGAAAUCUCUAACUCUGAUGACCUCCUCGAACUCUAGGGUCCAAACCUACACAAAUGGACUCGCAUGAGGUGUCAAACAGACUCUGAAUAACUCUUAAACAAUUCCCCAUAAUCCCCUCUAAACCUCUGAAAAUAAUUACAUAAAUCAUGCAAAAAAAGGCUGAACAGAACACAUUCGGCGGCAGGUUCGGCGGCCGAAUGUCCUCUCCAGAGCCGAAACUCAUGCAUGUUCGGCGGCACCUUCGACGACCGAAUGUGCAUGACAGAUCCGAAAGUCCAUUCUUUCGGAGGCAACCUUAGGCAGCCGAAACGACCUCCUCAAGGGGUUCGGCGGCCGAAUCCUCCCUUCGGCGGCCGAACCUGAGUUCAUCCAGAACUUAGUUUCGUGCAUGAACAAGCCUGCCAAGCACCAACUCCACUCCACAAGAGGUUCGGCGGUCGAAGCUGGGUUCUCCAGAAGGCAGAACCUUGCUUCCUCUCAUGCACAACCUCUCCAAACUCACUCUAACAUGCAUAACUCAACUCCUCAACUCACAUAUAUUAUGGUAUAUGCACAAAGGGGUCCAAACUACCUAUUAACCCCAACAAAACAACUAACACAACACAUAAUCAUGCUUUCACCAUGAAAACAUCAAAACUAAACUCUAAAACCUAAACAUGCAACUCUACCCUUAACCUCUUUAAAAGCCGUUAAACCAAGAAAACAAGUAUAAAGACCUCUCUUACCUCCGGAAACUAGAAGAGGAACAACUUGCACUCAGCAAAUCCCCUUCACAAAGCUUCAAACCACCAAAACCUCUCUUUUCUCUCAAAACCUUCAAGACUCGUUGAAACACACUCAACCCUCUGCACGAGCUGAUAAAAGCUUGCAGAUGAGUCAAGGGAGACGUGGCCUAACCUCUGGUCAUGAUCUGGAGGUGAACACCUGGCCAAACCACGGACUGAGGAGCGUGCACAACUUACCGACCACCUCAGCUUCGGCUGCCGAAACUGCAUGCAAAACCAUGCAACUUUCGGGGGCCGAACAUAACCUUCGGGGGCCGAACAUUGGGCACUUUCGGCGGCCGAACUUAACCUUCGGGGGCCGAACACGACAGAAACUCCUUUGGCCAAUUCUCCACAAAACUCAACUCUCCACAAAACUCAACUCUUUUCUUAAUCAAAAGCUUAAAACAUGUUAAAACAUUUUAGAACAAACUUACUUUGACCCUUCUAGAAUCUCUGACAGCUCUGAAUUCCACCGGACGGUAAGAAUUCUGAUGCCUGAACUAGCCGGGUAUUACAAUCUUUCCCCCUUAAAAACAUUCGUCCUCGAAUGUUAAAAAACACACAAGAACAAACAAAACCGCAAACUAUUCCUGAACUUCACAGCUUUCGCUGCGCUACUCUGAUCCUUAUCCUUCUCUUUCUUUUUAUCUUUUCUCAACUGUCCUCUUUUCCCUCUUAACUCAAAUAAUCUCUCUGUGAAACUCUCUCUCUUUAAUUCUCAACAGAUCAUAUACCCAUAUCUGUACUCUGAUCAUACCAAACUGUAAAUCCACUCAUCUUUGAUUAGAACAGUUAGUAGAUCAACAAUUCUAACUAGGAACACCUGUCCUUAGUAGGGACUUUGUUAACUGUGUACAGUCAUAACAAAAUCUCAAGAGUCUAUCCUUCGUUUCCCGCAACAAUACUGAAAACAUUCCAGGGUGAGGUACUAAGUCAGAUAAAAUCUUUAUCUACUAAGCUUCUAUACUAUUCUUACAAUUCUUAACUCUCUUUCUCUCUCUGCAGGUGCCAUCCUGUAGGGAAAGGAAAGAAAUGGUUCCGCGUCCAGACACCACUCUCGUUCCAAACUCUAGUUCCCUAACAGAUGGAAAACCUGACAGCUCGUCUAGGAAACAUCUAGUACUCACUGGCAAUAGGCACUGAGGCUAAUUCCCUGUCCUGACUUUUAAACAUGCUCACACGAGCUAGAAUCUUCUGAUAACCUUUCCUUUGUAGCUAUGAGCCUGAUGGGCUGAUAUCAAACCUCUGAGCAUCUAUACUCUGGACUCUGUCCUGUCUAAGGACUACCACUGAUCCAUCCUGUACUCUGACCUUUCUUACUUUCACUCUGUUGGCACAAGAAGUACCAUGAGUAGUUAGCCAAUCCGCCCUAGAAUGACAUCACACAGUCAAAUCUAGAACCAUAAGGUCAGCUGGAUCGCAUCUACUCACCUCUACGCUGAACUGAACGGACUGACUCUGCCUCUGAUGGAUCAUACUCAGGUCUACCGACCCAAAGAAAACACUCUAAGCCCAGAAGUCAUCAAACCCCCUCUAUCAAUGGCUCACUAAGCAACAAGGAAAAUGAAACACUGGGUUUCAAAACAACCAGCAUACACAUCCAAGCACUUCUAAGUGAACGUAUCUCACGUCACCGUGCAUAAUGUGUUAGCCGCCUACUAAAUCAGGAUGAAGAUCCAAGCUAAAGCUAAUGGAACUUCCCUCGGGAAUCUACUAAAGAAAAGACUGACUCUUUUCUCUGCCUCAACUACCAACUAAUCCCAGACUGACUUUAUCCUCUUUCUACGCUCACUCUUACUCCUCUUUCUUUUGAGAAAUCAAUUCUCACGAUUCUUGGGUUUAUAACAACCUGAGAUAUUAAAAUCUCACAGCAACUUUUUCUAGCUUUUCUUUGAUUCACUAAUCCUUUAACUAUUAACUCUUCUCUGAAUCUUUGCCAUAAAACUGACAUCCUACUAGGAUCCUCACAAACAUACCUCAGAUUACUCAAAACAAAAUGAGCAUACCUGGCGCAGAGGUAUCAGAUGUGUCUGCCUCUCUUCCUUGCCUAUUGGCUUGAGCCACUCUAUCUGCUAAAGUCUGCUGGGACUGAACUAUCCAGGGCGCAAUAGGACACUCACGCAUCAUAUGCCCCUCCUGACCACAUCUAUAACAUCCUGUUGUCCCUGCAAGACAAACUCCCUUAUGCAUUCUUCCACAUCUCUCACAUUUUGGUUUACCUCUACCAGAACUUGGACCAGCUCCACUAGUCCCUAACUCCUUAUUCUCAGACCCUUUAAAACCUCUCACCUUUUUCUUUCUAGUUCUCCCCCACUUCACUCCUGUCCAAGUGGCUGUACUCCAAGUGGAAAGUUCAUUCGCUCCUACACCUGACAUUUUAGUCUCCCUGAUCUGAUCAUCUUCUUCUACCAUAUUUACCUGUACACCAAUAUCCCUUCUUUGUACACCUACCUCUAUCUCUCUCCCGUCUCCUAACAUUCCUUUUCGGUCCAUUUCUUCUCUAUUUUCCUCACAAGACCCUUCAGACGGAUCUGAUUCCACAGAACUACUCAUCUUAGUUCUCCUUAAGAACAACACACAAAGAAACAAACAUUAGCACACAUGUUCAUAUGAAACCACAUGAACGUACAAUAUAUACAUGCAUACAUAGCAUAACAUUAAUACCCAUGAAUAUACAUGUGUAUUUCACAUCAGCAUGCAAAACAACUUCCUAUCUUAGUGGACAUGAUUCUACUUAUUGUGCUUUGCCUUUCUAUGACUCUAAACCAACCUCUUUCCGAUGUGGGAUCUCUCUAAUCCUUGAACAAACAUGCUCAACACACCGUACUUAGGAGGUCCUAUGCUCUGAUACCAACUGUAACACCCCGGAAACCGGUACCUCUCUGUAUCGGCCCAAAGUGCUCGGCACUAGGAUCCAGAUCGGCUUAAGGCCGCCUAGACCCGUAGUAAGCCUGCUAUGAACUCUGUGUACCUGGUAAAAUCCCAUACAUGAUCCAACUCGACUACUAAGUUUUACUUUCUUUCUCUGUAAAAACUACCAGACUUAACCUUUAAAACAUCAGACAUCUCAAUCUGAAAUAGCCCUCAGGGCUAAACCAGUGAUACUCUACCAAGUAACCUCCAUGCACUAUGCUCUGAAACAUAGAACCCACUCUGUAGGGUCAGCAUAUCAUAAGUUAACCUUGGCUACCAUAGAGUCACAGGAUUCAAACCUGGUCUUCUCUAAUGGCCUCUCUAUGGGUCACAGGAAUCAAACCUGAUCUUCCCUCUGCACUGGUCUUGGGUCAAGGAAAUUAAACCCUGUCUUCCCUCACAGUUAUAAUUCACUGGGUUUUCGAAACACAACAUCUAUUAAGUCUGGUUUGACUCAUUUCUCAUCAAGAAACAUAAAACAGGAUACAUGCAUACACUAGGGAUCAACAUACUAUAAGGAUCAACAUACACUAAAAGCAAAGCACAUUCUAACUCAUACAUACACGAUCUUACUAACUAUUACAUGCCUUUACAUCUAUCUCUUUAAUUUACAUCAUGUCCACUACUCUAUUACACAUGCAAUACUGGAACCAACACUCUGAUGCUUCUGACUCCCCAGCUAACUCUGUACCUGCAAAACUAGGAUUAAGGGAAAGGGAUGAGCUAUAAAGCCCAGUGAGUAGAAACACUGAAAAUAGUUCAUUCAUACACACUUUAUAUGAAAUGUGUCACAACUCAAACAUUCCACAUCUUGGAUUAGACAUGACCUCAAAACUCCCUCUGUCGGCACCCGAUUCCCGUAGGAACUCACACAGGAUUUUCACUGCCAUGACAGAUCGUGGGCUGUUGAUGUCGCCUUGGUCCAAUCCCCACUAUCAAUCAAUAAUGCAAUGCACCAUAUUCGUGAUUCUCAUGCAAUCACCCUAAUACAUAACAUGGUAUCCAUGAUGCAUGAACUAUGCUAACACAUUCCAUUUUCUCAGUAUAAAAGAUUAAGUUUAGUUCUACUCACCUCUGCUCCUCUAGCAGCUACUGUACUGACUCUGAAAUCUCUAACUCUGAUGACCUCCUCGAACUCUCGGGUCCAAACCUACACAAAUGGACUCGCAUGAGGUGUCAAACAGACUCUGAAUAACUCUUAAACAAUUCCCCAUAAUCCCCUCUAAACCUCUGAAAAUAAUUACAUAAAUCAUGCAAAAGAAGGCUGAACAGAACACAUUCGGCGGCAGGUUCGGCGGCCGAAUGUCCUCUCCAGAGCCGAAACUCAUGCAUGUUCGGCGGCACCUUCGGCGGCCGAAUGUGCAUGACAGAUCCGAAAGUCCAUUCUUUCGGAGGCAACCUUAGGCAGCCGAAAGGACCUCCUCAAGGGGUUCGGCGGUCGAAUCCUCCCUUAGGGGGCCAAACCUGAGUUCAUCCAGAACUCAGCUUCGUGCAUGAACAAGCCUGCCAAGCACCAACUCCACUCCACAAGAGGUUCGGCGGCCGAAUCUUUACUUCGGCGGCCGAAGCUGGGUUCUCCAGAAGGCAGAACCUUGCUUCCUCUCAUGCACAACCUCUCCAAACUCACUCUAACAUGCAUAACUCAACUCCUCAACUCACAUAUAUUCUGGUAUAUGCACAAAGGGGUCCAAACUACCUAUUAACCCCAACAAAACAACUAACACAACACAUAAUCAUGCUUUCACCAUGAAAACAUCAAAACUAAACUCUAAAUCCUAAACAUGCAACUCUACCCUUAACCUCUUUAAAAGCUGUUAAACCAAGAAAACAAGUAUAAAGACCUCUCUUACCUCCGGAAACUAGAAGAGGAACAACUUGCACUCAGCAAAUCCCCUUCACAAAGCUUCAAACCACCAAAACCUCUCUUUUCUCUCAAAACCUUCAAAACUCGUUGAAACACACUCAACCCUCUGCACGAGCUGAUAAAAGCUUGCAGAUGAGUCAAGGGAGACGUGGCCUAACCUCUGGUCAUGAUCUGGAGGUGAACACCUGGCCAAACCACGGACUGAGGAGCGUGCACAACUUACCGACCACCUCAGCUUCUGCUGCCGAAACUGCAUGCAAAACUAUGCAACUUUCGGGGGCCGAACAUAACCUUCGGGGGCCGAACAUAACCUUCGGGGGCCGAACAUUGGGCACUUUCGGCGGCCGAACUUAACCUUCAGGGGCCGAACACGACAGAAACUCCUUUGGCCAAUUCUCCACAAAACUCAACUCUCCACAAAACUCAACUCUUUUCUUAAUCAAAAGCUUAAAACAUGUUAAAACAUUUUAGAACAAACUUACUUUGACCCUUCUAGAAUCUCUGACAGCUCUGAAUUCCACCGGACGGUAAGAAUUCUGAUGCCUGAACUAGCCGGGUAUUACAUCCAUUUUUCUUCAUUGCUUGAGUAAAUCUCCCAAACCAUGCUCUGGGUGACUGUUUCAACCCAUACAAGGCUUGCCUCAAUCGACACACUUCUCCCCUUCUAUAUCCACUCAUGAACCCUAGUGGAGCAUCCAUGUAUACUUCCUCUUCCAGAUCACCAUGCAAGAAAGCAUUUUUUACAUCAAAUUGGUGAAGUGGCCAGUCUAGGUUUGCAACUAGAGAGAAUAGGACUCGUAUUGUAUCAAUUUUUGCUACUGGAGAGAAUGUUUCAGGAUAGUCAACUCCAUAAGUCUGAGUAUAUACUUUUGCUACAAGUCUAGCUUUAUAUCUGUCCACCAUUCCGUCUGACUUGUACUUUAUGGUAAACACCCAUUUGCAUCCCACUGGUCGUUUUCUCUUAGGUAGCCAGCAUUUUUUCCAGGUCUUGUUUUUCUCCAGGGCAUCCAUCUCGGUCUCCAUCGCCUCAACCCAUCUUUUGUCCUUCUGGGCCUCUGUGGCAUCCUUUGGUAUCCAUUCUGAGCAAAUAUUUUUUUGUAGGUUGACCAACUGAGGUGAUAGUUUUUCUCCUCUGGUAACGUUUGCCACAUGGUAUCUAGACUUGGCUGCCUCGAAUUCUGGAUCAUAUCUCCUGGGUGGAAUUCCUCUAUUAUUCCGAGGGGGUAGAAUAUAUUGGCCUGUUUCAGGAACCUCAAGGGAAAUGGGUUCACUGGUGAGGUUAUUAGGAACAGGGAAAAGUUCAGAUUCACAUACCUCAGUUGUGUGUUCCUCAGGAUAUUCUACGGUGUCAGGUUCUGGUUGUGACAUUGAGGCCGAGGACUGUACUAAAUGGUCAGUGUCUCCCGGUUCUGGUGUAGACUCAAGAAGGGAAGAAUGAUCAAGUUUUGGCCCCCCCCCCCUGACUAAGCCAAUUUGGCAGUGGUGGUGAUUGUGCCGCUGUCUCCCCCUCACUGCUAGUUGGCGAGGGAAAAAAAUAUUCCUCUUCCAGAAAGGUGCAGUCCAUGGUGGUGAAGAUCCGUUUAGAGAUUGGGUCAAAACACCGAUAACCCUUUUUAUGUACACCAUAUCCAAAGAAAACACAUUUAAGAGCACAUGGAUCAAGUUUAGUGCGGUGUGUUUUAGGAAUGUGAACAUAAACUGUGCAGCCAAAAAUUUUAGGUGGAAGGUUGAGAUGGGAAGGGAUGGUAUGAUGAGAGGACAAGGUAUGCAAGGGAGAUUGGAAAUUAAGAACGCGAGACGGAAGUCGAUUGAUGAGGUAAAUGGACGUGGCAACUGCUUCAGACCAAAACUUAGGAGGAACUUGGGCUUCAAACAAUAGGGCUCGGGCAAUCUCAAGAAUAUGUCGAUUUUUCCUUUCAGCGACCCCAUUUUGCAAGAUUAUAGGAAGAAAACUGUUUUUAUUUUCUUACCUCUUGUGUAGUAAGUUACAGUGUUUAUAUAGUACAUAAUAUGAACAAUUAGACCUUUGAUUGUGCCCUCAAUUAUGUCCUAGAAUUGCUAUGCUAAACAUGGUAAGAUUUGAUCACUGAUUGAUUUACAAUCAUGACAGGGGAUUCUUUCCAACAUAUUUAUCUCCAUUUUCUUAUAGCAUAAAAGGAGAACGAUAUCAGAGAUCGAAGUAUGCUAUCUUCUCACACAAAUACUCUGAACUUUAAGUAAUUUUUUACUCCCGCCUUGUUUUUCAGUUUACUGACUUGAGUAUCAGAGUGGCUGUCGUAGGUGUCAACCACCUCACACACACUUUCUCGCAGGAUUAGCCAAUCGUGCACAACAACUCAGUUCCGCUUUGGCCACAUCACCAUUUUUCAGUUCCAGCAACAUCAUUAGUUUCGCUGUCGGGAGAUCCAUUGAAUUUUCUCUGUUUAUUUGGAUUAAAACCGAUUUUCUAUCCCUUUUAUCUUAAAAGAAACCUUUUCUUUUAUUUUCUUUUGAAUGGUUGGCAUUUCACGAGUUGAUAAUAAGGUUCCUGCCAAUGAAGAUACCAUUAUAUCUUCCAUUCCUAGCAAUGAAUAAAUCACAUCUUCUAGGGUUCAUGAGCCAAAUUUUAACAAUAUGAGCACUGAGCAAAUGCUUCAGUAUGUCAGAAGAUUACGGAUUAUUUUUUAGUGGUGGAAAGCUCGGGAAGAGACGUCACUCAUGGCUCCUAAAACAAGAGAGGAAGUCUCCAUUGAUACCUUAAAGUCUCGGCCAGGAGCAAUCCAGACAUGGUCCAAAGGGAAGAACAAGAUCGAGGAAGAUGAGGUAUCAGACGAUGCUCCGAAAGACAUCGACCGGAGGCUAAUACAAGCUACUCCAAUGUACCAGGGAGGAUAGAAAGAAAAUAAAAAGAUGAGCCAAAAGCAAGACCAAAAGUAAAAAAAAAAAUAAAGAUAUGAGAGAGAUCACAAAAGUGACCAAGUCUCCCAAAAGAGGGAGAAUCAAAGUAAGUGUAAGAAUUAUAGUCCAUUGAAUGAUUUAUGAAUACAUAUUCUAAUGUGGAUUAGGAAGAGUGACAGGUAGGUCGGGUGGCCUCUCAAGCUCAAUCCAAAGGAAGCUGAAAAGCGAGAUAGGACUAGAUAUUACUGUUUUCAUAAAGACCAUGGAUAUAUAAUAGAGGAGCGCAGGCAUUUGAAAUGCGAGAUCGAAAGGUUAAAAACGGCACACUUCGAAAGUUCAUCAGAAAGAGUAGAAAAGAUAAGAGGUCUAAACUCGAGAUCACAAUUUCCAAAAUCACCCUUGACAGUAAACCUAUGAAAGAUUAUUCAUGUGAUUUAAGGAGAACCGAAGUUAAUAGGGGACCCCUGAAUCAAACUCUAAGAUUUUGAUAUUAGUCAAGUUAGAUAACCGAGUCUUUUAUUUUAUUUCUAAAAAGAGGUAAUUCGUGAAAAAUAUUAUAAAUAAAAGUAUUAUGUAUUCUUUAACAUUUUCUUUUAUCAAAAAAAUUGGAUGGAUAAAAGUGUGGAGAUAGAACCAAAGGCCAUAAGGCCGUCCGGACAGGGUCUCAGACUGGGCAUGGGUCCCACACAUAUAUUAGUCUUUGAAAACAAAUGCCACAAGGCUAUCCGGACAGAGGUCCCAGAUCGGGCAUAAGUUUUGCACAUAUUUUAGGCAUUGGUCCGCAGAAACAAAGAUCACAAGACCAUUCAGCAGAGGUCCCGGAUCGGGCAUGGAUCCCGCAUCAUAAUUUGGACGUUGAUCCACAGAAACGAACUCAUAAAAGCAAUGGAUAACUCAUCAGCAAUUGGACGAGUGUCGCUCAUGUAUUCGGCUACAGGGUGACUGCCUUUGGUGAUACGAGCAAGUUGGUCUUGUAAAUGAAUGAUUCGGGUUUGAGAUUUGCUGCCAAAAGCAGUUUGAAGAGAGGUCCAUACUUUGCAAGCAAUGGAAGCAUUUGUGAUCGAAUAAGCAAGUGUGGGAACAACAGAAGCUAAUAUGGCAUUAUGAACUAAUUUAUCUUGUUGAAACCAUUUCUGGUAAGCCGGAUUGGAAGUAGUAUUGUUGUCAAUAGUGAUUGUUUAUGGUGGGGCAGGGAAGCUACCAUCUAGAUAGCCAUGAAUAUUGUGUCCAUACAUUGAGCAUGGAGACUUGGGAUUUCUAAGUUGUGUAGUUGCUGCUGCCUGUGAGUUUGAGAGGUAACUGAGAUGCUGGAUUAAAUUGCACUACAAUGUUAGUGCCGGUGGUGAUGUCAGAGUUGACAGCGUUUAUAGUUGAGGCCAUUAUGAGAUCGGAAACUGUGGGCGACGAAGGGAAAAAUAAAUAAAUCAAUACUCGUUGGAGUGUAUUAUUACUCUGAUACUAUAAGAGAUAUUUAAGUAAAUGGAGAAAUUUAUAUUUUAUUCAAUAAUAAAUUAAGUAUAUAUAAGUAAUAUAUUCAACACAGUUCUAAAAUAAUCUCAAUAAUAUAAUUGAAAUAUAAAAAAUAAAAAAAUAAAAAAUCAAUCAAUAAAAAUUAAAAUUAAGAAAAAUUAAAUAAAAAAAUAAUAAAAUAGUGGACUUGGUGAUCAGCAUUUGAAACAGUUGGUUAUUAAUUUGCAGCAGAAUAAAGACAUCUCUUGCUAAUUCCGUCAAAAAUAUAAAAGGAUGAACGAGGAAUUUGUGGGCUAUAUAUGAACGAGGAAUUGUGAGCCCACAAAAAUAACCUUAAUUUAAAUAUUAUUUUAUAAUUUUAAUUAUAAUAUAAUUAUAUGUUAGAAAUUCUUAAUAAUAAUUUAAGUAAAAGCCUAUUUAUGUGCAUACAGUAGUAUUAUUUUAGAAUUUUGAUUUUAAUAUAAUUAUAUUGUAAAUGGAAAUCAAUUGUCUUUUUAAAAUUAGAAUUCUAAUCAAUAUUUACAUUUAAAUAUAAACAUUUUAAUUUCAAUUUAAUUUUAUUUAAAUUUUAAAUGCCUUUAAUGGCUAAGUCUAUAAAAAAAAAAAAAGAAUUUUGAACAAUAAUAUAAAUGAAACGUUGAGAAUCUACGCAUGUAAAUUGUGGAUAGUGUAUGUGUAUAGAUUAUAUAGAAUUAGAGUGUUUAAAAUCACCAUAAUUUUAAAAUUAAUUGUUUUUUAAUAAAAAAAAUUAAUUUUAUAAAAUAUAAAAAUAUUUUAAUUAAAUAAUUUUUAAAUAUAAAUGAACUAAUAAUUUUUUACCCAUUAUAAUUCUCUCAUAUGGUUUGGAAUUUUUGUUUUAAAUGAAAAUUGAAAAUUGAAUAUUGAAAAUUGGAGAGUAGAAUUAGACAUCUAUUAGAUUUACUCAAAUACACUUAUUAUAAGACUAAAUUUGUGAGUGCAUAGUUUGGGAUAUUAUUAAAUUUUAAAAUACCACAAACAUUAUAUAAAUAUAUAAACCCAUGAGGCGAAAACAUAGCAGGAAACUUAUAAGCAUACAUGUCAAUUAUUGAGAUGGCAAGAGCACCAUUUAUUUACUUGGAUUCCCCUCAAUAGAAACAUCCAACACUUUACCUAACAACGUACCCAAGAUUAUAAGCAUACUUGACGAGAUCUUCCAUUUCUGACAUGUCCACAACUCCAUCUCCAUUAGAAUCAGCAAGUUUGAUUCCUUGACGGGCCUGUUGAGCAGGGAACAUAGCACCAAGAUAAUUGAAAGCUUGUCUAAUCUCUUCCCGGCUAAGAACGUUGUCUCCAUUCAGAUCGAACUUCAUGAAGAUUUGCCUCACUUGGUCUUCAGUCAGGGGAGCAGGAGCACUUCUGUAACUGUUCACACGGCGGGGAUUGGAGGGAAUAUGAUAUGAACAUGGUGGUGGUGGAGUUGGGUUGCUUGGAAACCAAGCAGAUUGGGCAACAGCAGGAGAUGAUCCCCAGAAAGCACCAUUUGCGGGCUUGUCAUUGCACAUUGAGGGCUUCUCCUCAUGCAUUGGCUGAUGGUUUUGGGAAUGGAAAGGAAAAGGAGUGAUGUUAUAUUCUUGGGUGUAUUGGAUAGAGUAAGACAUGGUUUUCAAGUGGUGAGGGGACUUAAACAGGUUUUGAGUUUGUAGUUUUCUUGA